This 435-nucleotide ribosomal RNA is filed under the name Triticum aestivum (bread wheat). Its description in RNAcentral is "partial small subunit ribosomal RNA". Lineage: Eukaryota; Viridiplantae; Streptophyta; Magnoliopsida; Poales; Poaceae. The record is from RNAcentral.
AUGGGCAGGGUGAAGCGGUCGACGACCGAUAUGCCGUACCUGCCCGGGGCGCCGCCGUUCGCGAGGUUGAACUCGGCCAGCGUCGCGGGGGGCUUGCCCGAGAGCACGCAGCGCAGGGCGCCGCCGCAGUCGCCGGUCUGGCAGCCCCCGCGGCCCGUGGCGGGGUCGAAGGCGCAGCCCGUGCGCGGCCAGAUCCUGCCACCCGUCCCGCCGGCCGCGAACGUCAGGGUCCACGUCUCGCCGGGCGCCAGCUGCGCGCCGCCGCCGCCGCUCACCGGCAUCGCGGCCGCGCACACUGGGAAGGGGCACCGGUUGGUGAUGCUGAAGGUGGCUGCGCCGGCGCCUGCCGUGAAGGCCACCAGGAGGAGGACGACGGUGAGGGCCAAAGAGGUGGCUGCCGGAGUUGCCAUUGUGGUUGACUACUUGACUUUGUAG